RNAcentral lists this ribosomal RNA (265 nucleotides) under Pseudomonas sp. RNAcentral describes it as "partial 16S ribosomal RNA". It matches the Rfam family "Bacterial small subunit ribosomal RNA", at positions 517 to 781 of the family's 1533-position model. Lineage: Bacteria; Pseudomonadati; Pseudomonadota; Gammaproteobacteria; Pseudomonadales; Pseudomonadaceae. The record is from RNAcentral.
GCGGUAAUACAGAGGGUGCAAGCGUUAAUCGGAAUUACUGGGCGUAAAGCGCGCGUAGGUGGUUUGUUAAGUUGGAUGUGAAAUCCCCGGGCUCAACCUGGGAACUGCAUUCAAAACUGACUGACUAGAGUAUGGUAGAGGGUGGUGGAAUUUCCUGUGUAGCGGUGAAAUGCGUAGAUAUAGGAAGGAACACCAGUGGCGAAGGCGACCACCUGGACUAAUACUGACACUGAGGUGCGAAAGCGUGGGGAGCAAACAGGAUUAG